AGAGACAGCAGCAGCCGCGGGAAUACGUAGGGUGCGAGCGUUAAUCGGAAUUACUGGGCGUAAAGCGUGCGCAGGCGGUUGUGUAAGACAGGUGUGAAAUCCCCGGGCUUAGCCUGGGAACUGCGCUUGUGACUGCACAGCUAGAGUAUGGCAGAGGGGGGUGGAAUUCCACGUGUAGCAGUGAAAUGCGUAGAUAUGCGGAGGAACACCGAUGGCGAAGGCAAUCCCCUGGGCCUGCACUGACGCUCAUGCACGAAAGCGUGGGGAGCAAACAGGAUUAGAUACCCCUGUAGUCCCUGUCUCUUAUAC
This 309-nucleotide ribosomal RNA is filed under the name uncultured bacterium. RNAcentral's name for it is "partial 16S ribosomal RNA". It matches the Rfam family "Bacterial small subunit ribosomal RNA", at positions 504 to 807 of the family's 1533-position model. The record is from RNAcentral.